Molecule: ribosomal RNA, 506 nt
Filed under: uncultured bacterium
Lineage: Bacteria
Description: partial 16S ribosomal RNA
Rfam family: Bacterial small subunit ribosomal RNA
Source: RNAcentral
AGUGAACGCUGGCGGUAGGCCUAACACAUGCAAGUCGAACGGCAGCACAGAGGAGCUUGCUCCUUGGGUGGCGAGUGGCGGACGGGUGAGGAAUACAUCGGAAUCUACUCUGUCGUGGGGGAUAACGUAGGGAAACUUACGCUAAUACCGCAUACGACCUACGGGUGAAAGCGGGGGAUCUUCGGACCUUGCGCGAUUGAAUGAGCCGAUGUCGGAUUAGCUAGUUGGCGGGGUAAAGGCCCACCAAGGCGACGAUCCGUAGCUGGUCUGAGAGGUUGGUCAGCCACACUGGAACUGAGACACGGUCCAGACUCCUACGGGAGGCAGCAGUGGGGCAUAUUGGACAAUGGGCGCAAGCCUGAUCCCGCCAUACCGCGUGGGUGAAGAAGUCCUUCGGGUUGUAAAGCCCUUUUGUUGGGAAAGAAAUCCAUCUGGUUAAUACCCGGGUGGGAUGACGGUACCCAAAGAAUAAGCACCGGCUAACUUCGUGCCAGCCGCCGCAGUAA